Molecule: long non-coding RNA, 1325 nt
Organism: Ornithorhynchus anatinus (platypus)
Lineage: Eukaryota; Metazoa; Chordata; Mammalia; Monotremata; Ornithorhynchidae
Exons: 3
Source: RefSeq, a predicted model, not a curated record
AUCACACAUAUGUAAUAUAGGAUAUCACAUGUAUUUCCAGGUCCAGUAGUUCUGAAUUACUUCUCUGCUCAUGAUAUUUUUAUUAAUGGGAGUACUGAGACAAGGCUGUGCAAACAUGGGCUCCUUUGGAAUGGAUUCACAGAAGAUUAAAUGCUGAGUUGCUGGAUUUAUACAGCUCACCUUAUGCUAGGAUCCCCUGAUUCCUGGCUUGGAUGAGGACUGCAUUUGUACUUUGCAAGGUGCUGCACCCCUGUCUGCUAUUCACUCGUUGCACUCCGUAUGCCAGAAUGAAGAUGGCCGGUGGGGUUGAGAGAAUGUGUGUGGCUCCCUGCCACCACAGACUUGAGAAUCAAUAUUUUUGUGCAGGGUUGAAGUCGACAUCGGAAGAGGUCACAGCUGUGACACCACCAAGGGCAGCACCUCUAUAAAAAGACUCCACCUCCUGUCACCUGCAUAGGAUUUUGGGUUAGAAAUAAAAUUCCUAAAAAAUUCUCCAGCCCCACACACUGUGAACUCCUGCCUUGCCCCAGUUCUCUGCUAUUACAGAGUUUUGAUAUUCUGGACACAUUGACAGCAGGACAGUCCUCACCCCUGCUGGUGGCCCAUGAAGUAUCACUGCGUUGACAUGCUCCUCUCAGCUUGGGAGAGCAGCGAACUUGCUCUCUGUUUACCCACCCCCGCCACUUUAGCACGCCUCACUAUAGACCGGAAGAACCACCAGGCGAAGAUGCCUCCAUUUACUUCAGUGAUUUUUGAGUGUAAGAAGUUUUUAAAGGACCCUCUGCCCUCCCAGUGCAUUGUAUCACCCUCCCGGUGACAUGUCAAAUGACAGAGAAUGAAUGGAGGUCUUCUAUAACAGUGUGAGUUCUUCUUGAGAGAAAUGACAAGAACGCAGCUGGAGAAGCAAAAUCAGAUUUUUCAGGUGAAUUCAGAAUGGAGGUCACUCAGCUGCCAGAUGCCAUAAAAGAACAGUGUGAUUUUCAGCAUUCCAGGCUUAGUUCUAAGUUUAGCAGAGGGUGAAAAUGGAGCAGAGUGGCAGGAAUCCUCAAACCUGAAAGGGAUGAAAUUAGAUGGCUCCCUCAAGCCACAAAGGAGCGUGAGGCUACUCCUGACCUCACCCCAUUUGAUUCUGGGGGUGGAAACAUCUGAAGGAGCGGAGGAACUCCAACCGGGUGAAAGCCACCAGGGCCAGAGAGCUCUGGGACCUCUUACGGAUGGCUUUCCGAGACGGAGCUUAUCCGGUCUUGAAGAUUUUUUGAAAUCAGUCAAUAGUAUUGAUUGAAUGUUUACUGUGUGCAGAGCACCUAACUAAGCUCUUAGGAGAG